Misgurnus anguillicaudatus (oriental weatherfish) is the source of this 1281-nucleotide non-coding RNA. The record is from RefSeq and is a predicted model, not a curated record. NCBI's taxonomy places the organism in Eukaryota, Metazoa, Chordata, Actinopteri, Cypriniformes, Cobitidae.
AUUGAGGAAAUUCGCGGAUCCUAUGGCCGGGCUGGUGUUGCGUCAGGAUCUCCGGAGAGAGAAACGCAGGGGUCGGCGGGUCCUGUCCGCAAUUCACUGGGAGAGGCAACGAGUACCCAACCUUUGUCCCCGGCAUGGAAUACUGUCGUGAAGGAAGGGCGGCGUAAGCCUCAGAAGCCCCUAAAAGUGGCCACGCAAACGCAAUCGAAACCUGGCGGCAUGCACACUCGUCUAAAUCGAGAGCGCAAAAUGGGAAUAGUCGGUACCGGCACAACCUAAGCAAAUUCAGACCUGUUUAUGCACCUGAAGACUUCCUUGAGGUAUUGAUUGCUUUAAGAAACCCUAAUAAUGAUUGCAGUGAAGAACUCACAGUCAGAAGCCACUGGGGAUUAAUCCAGGUUUCCCUCAAUGUCCGUGACAUUCCUCAAAUGGUGAGCUAAUCUGGGUUUCCCACUGUUUUUUUUCUUCUGUUUUCAUUUAAUCUUAAGCAGCGGUUCAGUGGUUCUUAAAUUUUUUUGGCAUGCAACCCCCCUUGUGUAGGGUGCAUCCCUUCACCCUCCCCUCAUAAAAUUUAAAAUAUGAAUUAAACAAAACAUAUUAAUAAUACAAUGUAGGUUUAAUUACACUGAAUAUAUUUUAUUAAAUGCAGUUUUUGAACCACUGAUCUAAGCAGUGGCGGCCGGUGACUUCUUUUUUCGAGGGCGCACUAUGGAAAGUUUGUCACAACAUGUAUGUAGCCCGUCAUGUGUGUGGUUCGUCAUUUCAAAAUAUGUGUUCUGCGUUUUAAGAGAUCCUGUGUGCAUCACGUGUCUUGUCAAAAUAAGUGCCUGCUGCAGACGCGUCUAAAGGGUUUAUGAUAAAAGAGAUGCUCUCGUUUGCCAAAUACUCACAUAAUCUCAUGCGUAAUCAGAGUUUACUGUUAAGGGAGUGUCUUUGUUAAGGGAGCAUGUAUUUUGUGAAUGUGAGCGUCUCUUUUAUCAUAAAUGGUUUAACGUGUGUGCAGCAGGCACUUGUUUGACAAAACACGUGAUGCACAAGAUUCACAUGACGCAACAAACACAUAUUUUGAAAACACGUGCAACACACAUGACACUCCGAACACUUAUUUUGAAUUUGCGCCCCUCUGAUGAGCAGUCACGAGCCGCCACUGGAUCUAAGCAAACAAUUUGCAACUAUUGUAACUACUGAAGAAACCAUUUCGUAUACAAAUUUAACUAAUUAAGAGAUGCGGUGAUGAAAUGAGACAUCAAAACAAUAAUACCACAAAUUUUUUUGUAGUAC